Small nuclear RNA from Xiphophorus maculatus (southern platyfish), 115 nucleotides. Its record names the gene U5. It matches the Rfam family "U5 spliceosomal RNA". From Rfam's summary of the family: U5 RNA is a component of both types of known spliceosome. The precise function of this molecule is unknown, though it is known that the 5' loop is required for splice site selection and p220 binding, and that both the 3' stem-loop and the Sm site are important for Sm protein binding and cap methylation. The record is from Ensembl. NCBI's taxonomy places the organism in Eukaryota, Metazoa, Chordata, Actinopteri, Cyprinodontiformes, Poeciliidae.
UCACUCUUGUUUCUCUUCAAAUCGUAUAAAUCUUUCGCCUUUUACUAAAGAUUUCCGUGGAGAGAAACAACAAGAGUUUAUUGUAAAUUUUUGGAAUCCUGCCAUUUGGUGGGGU